RNAcentral lists this ribosomal RNA (331 nucleotides) under uncultured bacterium. Its description in RNAcentral is "bacterial SSU rRNA". It matches the Rfam family "Bacterial small subunit ribosomal RNA", at positions 568 to 898 of the family's 1533-position model. The record is from RNAcentral.
CGUGUAGGCGGUUGGUCAAGUCGGGUGUGAAAGCCCGAGGCUCAGCCUCGGAAGUGCAUCCGAAACUAGCCAGCUAGAGCGCGAUAGAGGAGGGUGGAAUUCCUGGUGUAGCGGUGAAAUGCGUAGAUAUCAGGAGGAACACCGGCGGCGAAGGCGGCCCUCUGGAUCGUUGCUGACGCUGAGACGCGAAAGCGUGGGGAGCAAACAGGAUUAGAUACCCUGGUAGUCCACGCCUUAAACGAUGGGUACUAGGUGUUCGGGGUGUUGACCCCCUGAGUGCCGCAGUUAACGCAUUAGUACCCCGCCUGGGGACUACGGCCGCAAGGUUAAA